UAGUAGGCAGUUCUGCUAUGACGCAAGUUGAGGGAGAAAUUUUAGCCUGUUGUCUCCGGGGUACUUUGCGUGGUGAAUGAAGGGACAUGCUCAAGGCUUAGAUCUUCAUUUCAAUUUUAGGAUUACAGGUACCUGAUAGCAUUAAUUCCCAUGGGGAGGAGAUCAGCAAGAAUCUACAGAUUUGAGUGUCUGGGACAGAGGAGCUUUAUCAGAAUUCAGUUUAACAACUGCUCUGCCAAGAUUGAUGCUUAGUGAAUCCAGCUUCAGCAGGCAUUGCCAAACUUCCGAAUGGCUUAUCAGCCCAAUCUGGUGUGGCAGAUUUCCUCACAAUUACUGAUUUUUCUGGUAGAAAGAAGCCCUGUGAUGUGCAAACCCAGAGCAGCACAAGGAGCAGGGGAUAUUUUCAUCCUCUCAUUGUCUGGGGAGGCUGGAGGGGGAACUGAAUCAGCAUCUUCCACUUCUCCAAAGUGAUUUCUCUAGUUUAUGUAGUGUCUGGAGGCCAUGAGGAUUUUUCCCGGCAAAAAUGAAAGAGCUGUUGCUACAGCAAACAACU
Molecule: long non-coding RNA, 553 nt
Organism: Pezoporus flaviventris
Lineage: Eukaryota; Metazoa; Chordata; Aves; Psittaciformes; Psittacidae
Exons: 4
Source: RefSeq, a predicted model, not a curated record